GUAUGAUAGUGAUGUUAAUUUUUUGUUUUUGUGUUACCAUUUUACAUUUGAACCAUGACCAUAUGCAAUCUGAGGUGUGGGGAGGCUCAGACAGAAAAUGCUUGCAAUGAAUGUUUAUGAGUACUUGGUAAUUUUGGAGUCCUUGGUUAGGGUUUGGACUAAAAGUACGAGUGUUGGAGCUGACACUUUCGGAGUUCGAACUCAUUCUUGGAAUUCGUGUUUUAAUAAUUUGAAUAUGACAAAAAAGAUAGUGAGAUGUUUGGUCUUUGGCUCGAUUGCUUUGACAAGACAUAUCUAGUUUUUGCCUAGCAUCAGCUGAACUUCUAUGAACAGAGAAUUAAGAAAGAUCCAAUUAAUAAAAUCAUAAUUCUUGCAGUCCAACCUUAUUUCAUAUCAGUUACCAUGUAAGAUGUGCAAUGUGAGGUUAAUGUGUCCAACUUGACCUCACCUACAAAGAACAACAAAUAAUUUUAGAAAAAGAAAAAAGAAAAAGAAAAGAACCAUUUCACCUCCAAUCCAAAAGGAAAAUCGAAACAUGUUUAGGCUGCAUUUGGAAGAUACUAUUAUUUGCGAAAUAGGGCCUCGAAUUUUGCCACAAGAACACUCUUGCAAGUAGGCUUAAAUAGGUUUCUCCUUUUUCUUUGUGGAAGAUAUUAUUAUUUGCGAAAUAGGGCCCAAAAAAUAG
Molecule: long non-coding RNA, 685 nt
Organism: Magnolia sinica
Lineage: Eukaryota; Viridiplantae; Streptophyta; Magnoliopsida; Magnoliales; Magnoliaceae
Exons: 2
Source: RefSeq, a predicted model, not a curated record